Molecule: non-coding RNA, 223 nt
Filed under: Enterococcus sp.
Lineage: Bacteria; Bacillati; Bacillota; Bacilli; Lactobacillales; Enterococcaceae
Description: T-box sequence
Rfam family: T-box leader
About the family: Uncharged tRNA acts as the effector for transcription antitermination of genes in the T-box leader family. T-boxes are found upstream of many aminoacyl-tRNA synthetase genes and some amino acid biosynthetic genes usually in Gram-positive bacteria.
Source: RNAcentral
GCAAAGACGUUGAACAAGAGGAGUAUUACUGGCAUCGUUUUAGAGAGAAGAUCGAUUGGUGGGAGAUUUUCACAUAACCAGUAAGAAGGUAGCUUGGGAGUCGAUGAUUUGAAUUUAGUAGAAUGAUUCGAGUCGUGAUCGUUACCUCACGAAUGAAGUGGUGUUUGUAGUUGCAGACACAAUUUAGGUGGUACCACGUAUAAAAAGAUUAUGCGCCCUAGAA